UAUAAGACCUGGCCAUGAUACCCCACAGCCUGGCCUACCACUGUGUCAGCUCGAAUAGAGACCUACAUUUUCAUUUCAGUGCCAAGAAUGCUGCCAAAACAAGAGUGCCUCUGCAGUCAGACAAACCUGAGGUCUGAGCUCAGCCUUCAUAGUGACAGCUCCAUGAGCCAGCAUGGGUUCCAAAGUCUUCCUAAGCUUAAGCUUUGCUGUCUAUGGAAAGCUGACAUUCCACAUGCUUAAAAGGAUUGAAUAUAAAAGUAUAAAACUGCCUAGGGUUAUGCCUGACAUAAAGGAAGUGCUUGAUAAAUUACACUGCUUAAUGCUGUUACUAAAUUAAGCUCUUGUGGAGUUAAAAGACUGAGCAAAUAAAAGACUAGUUGUGGCUGAGCUUGGGUGAAUAUGCUUUCAUGAAUCCAAAUGUGUAAUGAACUGAUUUUUCUAGUCACAACAGUUCCUAGAAGGCAAAACCAAAGAGUAGGAACUGGAUCUUCCACAGGGCCCUGUGUAGGAGCUCCACACUGCAGCAAUGUUCUGUAUAGCCCUGGUCUCUCAUCAAGGUCUGCUAUCUGAGUCUCAGCCAUCCUCGGAGCUUGCCCACCUCUUUGCUGGCUGCUGGCCCCAUGAUCUGCCUACACUGUUUAAUAGCUUUUUGUUAAUUCUCUGUCUGCAUAAAUAUGUAGACCUUCCUGGCAGCCUGUGCUCAUCUGACAGAUCUCAGAGUAAUGACGUGUGACGGGUGUUGUCAGAGGCAGGGAGAGCUACCCAGCUGUGAGUUAUUGAGCUGGAUACCUUGGCCUGGGCUUCUCGUUGUAUGCAUCACCUCAUGUAUGGUUUUCCAAGUAAGCAGGGCUUCUUCUGGUCUUCCUUUCUGAGCUUUAGAGUUGUGAACGUUAGAAGAGGCUAAGCCAGAGAUCAUCACAGCCUCACUGGUUUCACACCUUCCUGUCCUUGUGUGCUCACUUGCAAUCAGCUCCCACCUCUCUAAGCUUGAUCCUGCUUCUAGGACCUGAUGAUUUUCUGCUUCCAAUGAAGUUAAUUGAGAACUAACUUAACAAGGGUAUUCAGAAGUUUAGGGAAGAACACCUGGGCUAAUACCCACUUGCAUCCCACCCCUGUGGACUAGAUAUAGUUUAUGGCCUCCACUUGCAGUUUAAAGUCCAGCACCUACCCAUGGAAAAAUCCUCCACUAUUUAUAUUUGGGUGGGUAGAAAAAGGAGAAUUUAUAAAUACUCCAUUUUAUUCAUUAUACAUUUUAAAAAAUCUGUUCACAAAGUCGAAAUCAAAGGGUUAAAAUGUCUGUAUUUACUCACAUUUUGCUCAACUCAAUUUUCCAGAUCUAACAUAUCUUCCAAAAAUGGAGUCAUGAUUCUUCCAAUAAAGUUGUAACCCAAAGAAUAUUGCUCUCUCUUUGGUCUCCAAGCUGAUUUGUGUCUCUGGGGGCAAUAUUUUCUCAGCAGUGAUUGAAAUCUGUAUCUUCAUUGAGAAGGUUACCGUUCAUCCUCUUGCUUCCUUCCUAAAGUCAGGCAUGAGGGACACUAAUCCCUAAUUACCAGUGACAGCAGCAGCACUUCUGUCUCCUCCACUUACCGUUCUCCACUCUGCAGAAGAUGGUGCACUGCCGUCUGAUUUCCUUUCUCAGUGCAAGCUUAAAUGUGACGUCUUCAUGCCCCUCCUUACAUCUUUCAACUUUUGCACUGUUUAAAAUGCAGGAGUCUGAAUUGCCUUAAGUAGUUUCUCAGGAUACUUCAGUAUAAUCCGGUGGAGGAAUGUGAAAAUUUAAUUACUGUGUUCCCAAAUAAUUUUAAACCCCCAAAUAAAAUAACUAUAAUACUGGAGAGGAGUCACCUUUGCAGUAAUGUGUUGUACUGAUGGAAGAGGAAGGUGUGGCUUCUGUCAAAAUGCUCAGUCCCCGUGGGAGGUGAGGGAAAGACUCGUUCACCUUCUGGUUGCAAGAGCUGCAUACUGCAGCUGUGGGCACUCUAACACUGGUGAGAAAAUACAAACAGGAGCAAAGAAGGCCAUAGCUCACUUCC
RNAcentral lists this long non-coding RNA (2033 nucleotides) under Mus musculus (house mouse). RNAcentral's name for it is "long non-coding RNA chr13:104490967-104493000". The record is from RNAcentral. Lineage: Eukaryota; Metazoa; Chordata; Mammalia; Rodentia; Muridae.